GCUUGUCUCAAAGAUUAAGCCAUGCAUGUCUAAGUAUAAAUAAUUCUAUACUGUGAAACUGCGAAUGGCUCAUUAUAUCAGUUAUAGUUUAUUUGAUAGUCAAUCACUACUUGGAUAACCGUAGUAACUCUAGAGCUAAUACAUGCGUCAAGUCCCGACUAGCGCAAGCUGGAAAGGAUGUAUUUAUUAGAUCCAACCAACCGCGGCGGGCAACCGGCGCGAACCUGGUGAAUCAUGAUAACUGAGCGAAUCGUAUGGCCUCGCGCCGACGAUGGUUCAUUCAAGUUUCUGCCCUAUCAGCUUUCGAUGGUAGGGUAUUGGCCUACCAUGGCAUUGACGGGUAACGGAGAAUUAGGGUUCGAUUCCGGAGAGGGAGCCUGAGAAACGGCUACCACAUCCAAGGAAGGCAGCAGG
This 414-nucleotide ribosomal RNA is filed under the name uncultured Bicosoeca. RNAcentral describes it as "partial small subunit ribosomal RNA". It matches the Rfam family "Eukaryotic small subunit ribosomal RNA", at positions 30 to 432 of the family's 1831-position model. The record is from RNAcentral. Lineage: Eukaryota; Bigyra; Bicosoecida.